Molecule: long non-coding RNA, 572 nt
Filed under: Phoenix dactylifera (date palm)
Lineage: Eukaryota; Viridiplantae; Streptophyta; Magnoliopsida; Arecales; Arecaceae
Description: long non-coding RNA (PDAC_LNC017837)
Source: RNAcentral
UUCCGUCUCCUUCCGAUUCCCGACCUCCGACUGUCUUCCCCCUUUUACUCCUCUUUCCAUCUCCACCUCCGCCGCCGCUGCUUCCCGUUUCCUCCUCCGCUGCGUUGCUCCGCUCCUUUCUCUUAACUUUCCUCUUCCCUCUUCCGCUCCCCCUCCACUUUCCUCUGCCGCAGUCCGCACUCCACCAUUUGUCAGGUAAAAAGCGAUCGUGUAUCAUUGCUUUCUUCCUUUUUUUUUUUUUUUACUCUUUUUCCUUCUUAUGAAUGUUUUGUGGGUUUAGUUUUAACUUCCUAUUAUUUUAUGUUCCCCCCUUAAUUUCAGCUAUUUUGCCAUUAUUUCUCAUAUGCCAUAAGUCUAAAUGCUUCUAUUCCGCAACCAUCUUUUAUACCGUUGUUCCAUUUUGUCUUGUUAAUGUGUCUUCUUUUAAUUUCAUCAUUAGGUGUUUUAUUUUCGUAUUGGAUUUUUUUUCUUCGGUGGGUGCAAGCGAAGUAUUUUAGCAUCAAGUUUCAUUCCGUCUCUUUUGCUUUGAUUAAGGGAUCUCACUUUACCACCUCUUUCUUCCUGAUGCCAUG